This is a long non-coding RNA of Triticum aestivum (bread wheat), 3942 nucleotides long. RefSeq lists it as uncharacterized. The record is from RefSeq and is a predicted model, not a curated record. Lineage: Eukaryota; Viridiplantae; Streptophyta; Magnoliopsida; Poales; Poaceae. The transcript has 8 exons.
AAAAAAAAUCACAAACCAACCACCCGCACGUACGACCGAGGUCUCUUGCCCUCGAGCGAGAAACAGUCGCCCAACUCUGUGCCCUCGUUCGCCGCCGCCGCCCUUCGUCCCCUCACCACCACCGCUAGAUCCCUUCGCCACCGCUCGGUGCCGCCAGGCCCCGACCUCCUCCCCGGCUCCCGGCGCCGCCCGCCCCCCAUCUGCUCCCCCGAUCCCAGCUAAGCCCGGCCCCACCUUCUCUCUCACUCUUGGCGGCGAUCCCCGUGGUGUCCCCGGACCGGAGGCCGUCGAGGAUGUAGAGCGCCGGGAGCGCGGCGCCGACGAGGAACCCCCCAUGAUGUGCGCGGCAAGGAGGAGGCGCUCGGGGCCGAGGAAGACGGGCGCGGACGGGUUGGGCUUCCUGGGCGCUGCGGGAAGGUGAGCCUGGCUAGGAGGAGUAGGUAGGGAAAGGACGGCGACUCGCCGGCAGGUCACCGGCGCCGGGAGGCGGUGAGGUCGUCUCUCUCGCUCGCCUCUCCCCUUCUCCCCAUCUCGCAUCUCCUUCUUGCACUGUCGGUGCUGCCGUCCAGUACGUGCCGCGGCGAUCCCCAUGAUGCGCUGGCCAUCUGAACCAGAUCGACGCCAACGAGAAGUCUCUAAUGUCCCGUGCGGCGGCCACGGGUCCAUCUUAAGUCGGCGGCGAGCUAUGGUGAGGUACACAUGGCGCUGAUGGAUGCACUGUACAGGGGCGCCGCCGCCACUGAGCUGGCCACCGGCUUUUGCCUGCCGUGCUGCCGCGACGGGCACUCCCUCCUCGGCUUUGUCAGGGUCCUCCUGCCCUGCGUUUAUGUGCUGCUCCUCGUCAUCAUCUCCGUGGGCAAUGCCCUUGAACCCCAUUCUCCAACCAUCUGGCAGCAUGCUGGACGUCGUCCUCCUCGACGCGGCCGUCCCCGACGAGCUCUCUUUGUCGGAGAAGGUGGGGCAGCAAGGCAUCCUAUCCUCCAGCGCGUGGACCGACGGCUGAGUCCUCCUGCUCUCCUAGCGUGGACAUUUAUCCGCACUGAUUGUUUCCACGACAGUAAACUAUAUGUAUAUCUAGGAUAUGAUGGAAGCGUGCAGUAGCAUGAGAGGUCUUUCCUAAUUCUAGGACAAGAUGUGAAGCUUGUAUCUGAUUUAUAAGGUCUGAACACCAUGGCAAUCUCAAUCUUGUUCGGCAUCCAAUGGCUCCUAAUUCUUUUACAACGGCUCUGCUCGGGAUUUGUGUCGAUGACGUCCAUUGACAAAGUGGUUCCAAGAGGUAGAGAGGCUGGUGCGGGACGUUGUGGAGAGUGACGUCAAAUGGGGGUCUGUCCGGGCAUCACUGCUGCUGGAGCUGCAGCGCCGGUACACGGAGAUCAACGGGAAGAGGGCCAUCAACGAGACCCGCAUGAGCCUCAUGGAGGAGGACCCAUAUGUACUAACAUACACAAGAUGACAGAGAAGUUCUCCGCUCUUCAGCUCAAAGUGAAGGAGGUGGAUGCAUUGCAGAAUCACUCCUCCAACAGGUGAACUAAUUAAUUUGCAUUGUCUUCUUUUUGAACUUAUUUCUGAAAGCAGUUUCUGAACUCUGAAAUUGUGUGACUAAUGCUGAAGUGAUCUGUUGUGUUAACUCCUUUUGAAUCUCUUGAUUCUUUUGAUUCUCUUAAAUCAUUGCAAUCUCUUGACCCGAGGGCUACCGAUGAGUCUCCGCGGCGGAUAUCCCCCAAAAAAGAUAAAGAAACAGAUCCCCAUGGAGAUUCCCUCACUGCACGGAAGUUUUCUUGGACGGCGACCUCACUACCCAGCCGGUAGCAGCGUCGCCUUCCUGGUAGGCACCCGGCGGAUGGGUUCCUGGUGGACCGUCCCGUGCAGUCCGAUGACUGCGUGGCCGCGCUCAUCCAGACGGAGAUGGAGCACAUGCCCGUGGACGGGUACCCCCAGAUGCUGCGGCGGCUCGGGGCCUUGUAUUUGGCCGCCAUCACGAGGGACACCAUAGAUAGGACCUGGAAGGUUCCUCUCGGUAGCAACUGAAGCAACCCUGCUAAAAUCCCAUAAAGUACUUGUUGGAAUCAUGGAGAAAUUGGUUUCUCAUGGCUUGCUUGUGUGACAUAGCUCUUGGCAGUGACUUGCUUCUGUCUCGCUCGUGGACCAGCAGGUCAGUGACUGAUGCAUCUCAUCUCAUGAAAGACCUCCUCAUACACCGUUGAGGGGUUCUGUCUUCUCAGUUUUGUCUCAAUUAAUCGACGGUUUUUGCUUGACACACGAUUGAGGCAAAGUCUGUGUUUGAGGCAAGGACAAUAAAAAUGAUGGAGCUUUUGGUGCUCAGCACCUUGAAAUGGAGGAUGCAAGUUGUUACUGCUUGCUCGUUUAUUGGCUACUUCCUUUGCAAAUUCAAUGAUCAUGACACACCCUCCAUGCUCGCAUUCUCCCACUCGAACCUCAACCCGAGCACAGCUAAGUGAGCUGAUUUUUUGGUGUUCAGACCUUCCGAGAUUGCUGGAAGUGUUGCACCUGCUUCAUUUGGGGAGCGCAGUACUUCAGUGGUCGAAAGGGGUACAACUAAUUGCAAGUAUAUAAACAAGGAGCGAGUGUUAAGAUGCUACGAUGGAGCCAUGGAGGUAACUCACUAAAUGAGCGGAUAAUGUUUUUCAAAUGAGAAUCAUGGAGCUCCGGUGGUUGAAAUACCAAACCCCAUCUUGUUUAGAGAAAUAAAUAAUUCGCACAUGUGGUAGAAUACUUACACGAAUUUGAGAAACUUUGGUCUUAAAAACUGAGGACAUAUGAGUGAGCAAGGAAGAAUACAAGUUUGUUCAAAGCAACAAAAUGUAUUGGUUACUUGACAGACCAUAUGAGUUUCUGUAGUUACCUAUUUUUGUCUAUCAAAUCGUAAGAUAAUGCAUCAUCUCAAUCUGAGAGGUGUAAAUGAUCAUGUCAUCUAAUAAUCGUAUCUAGGUUUGGCUUUAUUUGGUGACUGGAAUUUUCUAUUGCGAAAAGUUACUGGUGAUGGUACAUUAGAAUUACCAAACUGAACAGGUGGUACUAAAAAGUACUGGAAAAUCUCAAUGCCUAGAUGGUAUGAUGUGCCAUGUUCAUCACCGCCGGGAAUACUUUGAUAGGGCUAAAUUUUGCUCUAUAUGAUUUCCUGGGGGCUGUUUGGAAGAGAGGGAUUGGGCUAGGAGUUAGUUUAAUUUGUACGUUAGGACAAAGAUGAUUGAGUGAUGAAACUACAGUUGCUAAUUCAGUGUAGAGAUCCUACUUAAUGUACACAUCAACAUUCUUAUAGAGCAAUUUAAUACUGUAACUCUUAUCUUAUUCACCGUUAUUUCUGUUGAAGAUUGUUUGAAAUUAUUAGGCACUGGCCCUCUUCAAGUCCUACUUUAGUGCAACGGUGCAGAGACUAUGCACUUCGGUUAUCCUCAUAAUCCCAGUACCAUAAAUUUUGAAGUUAAAUAUAACCCAGGAAGGCGUACGGUCACCAUUUUCCUCCAAGGUCAGAGAUAUAUGAAAAAUGAAGUCGGUUGUAUUGGAUAUACAAAAAAUAAAUAUGUAUGUUCCUUUAUUUUCUAGGGAGAGUUCUAAUAUGUGACGUGACAGGAAAGAUCCUGAUGAAGUACUUCCUUUUUGGGAUGCCUAUCUGAAGUUGGGACUAAAUGACAAGAUUUAAUUGGCUUAGUAAAUAAAAAACUUGCUAAAGAAAAAUAAGAUUCAAAAUAGAUGUUUUUAUUAUAGAUUAGGAUUCGUGUGUUCUGCCACCGGGUUGACUUCUCAUAUCAGAAGGCAAGCCGUUAGUUCAUAUCAUGCUACUUUCCACUAUUGUAGUGAGAGAGAGAGAGGGAUUGAGAGGCUCCUACUUUUUGUAUUGUUGUCGAUGCUUGCACAAUGCUAUUGCUUAUUAUACUGGGGUAUUCAUCUUUGGAAUAAAAAACAAUCAUUUUCUCCCUUCAA